Molecule: ribosomal RNA, 679 nt
Filed under: Russula parazurea
Lineage: Eukaryota; Fungi; Basidiomycota; Agaricomycetes; Russulales; Russulaceae
Description: eukaryotic LSU rRNA
Rfam family: 5.8S ribosomal RNA (bases 249-402)
Source: RNAcentral
UAACAAGGUUUCCGUAGGUGAACCUGCGGAAGGAUCAUUAUCAUACAACGGAGGCACCGGGGCUGUCGCUGACCUUGGUCGUGACGCCCAGAGUGCUCUCUCUAAAAUCCAUCUCACCCCUUUGUGCAUCACCGCGUGGGCCUUCCUUUUGGCUUGUUCCGAAGGGGGGUUCGCGUUUCUUUCAUACAAACACCCUUUUAAUGCAUGUGUAGAAUGUCUUACUUUUUGCGAUCACACGCAAUCAAUACAACUUUCAACAACGGAUCUCUUGGCUCUCGCAUCGAUGAAGAACGCAGCGAAAUGCGAUACGUAAUGUGAAUUGCAGAAUUCAGUGAAUCAUCGAAUCUUUGAACGCACCUUGCGCCCCUUGGUAUUCCGAGGGGCACACCCGUUUGAGUGUCGUGAAUGCCCUCAACCUUCUUGGUUUCUUGACCGGGAAGGCUUGGACUUUGGAGGUUAUUGUUGCCGGCCACUUUUGAAGCCGGCUCCUCCUAAAUGAAUUAGUGGGGUCCGCUUUGCCGAUCCUUGACGUGAUAAGUUUGCUUCUACGUCUUGGGUUUCGCACUGUCGCACCGGAACCUGCUUCCAACCGUCUUUGAACGAAGACAAUAUUACGAACCUUGACCUCAAAUCGGGGUGGGACUACCCGCUGAACUUAAGCAUAUCAAUAAGCGGAGGA